RNAcentral lists this ribosomal RNA (253 nucleotides) under uncultured bacterium. Its description in RNAcentral is "partial 16S ribosomal RNA". It matches the Rfam family "Bacterial small subunit ribosomal RNA", at positions 524 to 776 of the family's 1533-position model. The record is from RNAcentral.
UACGUAGGGUGCAAGCGUUAAUCGGAAUUACUGGGCGUAAAGCGUGCGUAGGUGGUGAGUUAAGUCUGUCGUGAAAGCCCCGGGCUCAACCUGGGAAUGGCGAUGGAUACUGGCUCGCUAGAGUGCGGUAGAGGAGAGUGGAAUUCCCGGUGUAGCAGUGAAAUGCGUAGAGAUCGGGAGGAACAUCAGUUGCGAAGGCGGCUCUCUGGACCAGUACUGACGCUGAGGCACGAAAGCGUGGGGAGCAAACAGG